This 590-nucleotide ribosomal RNA is filed under the name Trichoderma asperellum. RNAcentral describes it as "eukaryotic LSU rRNA". The stretch from base 211 to 364 matches the Rfam family "5.8S ribosomal RNA". The record is from RNAcentral. Lineage: Eukaryota; Fungi; Ascomycota; Sordariomycetes; Hypocreales; Hypocreaceae.
UUGGUGAACCAGCGGAGGGAUCAUUACCGAGUUUACAACUCCCAAACCCAAUGUGAACGUUACCAAACUGUUGCCUCGGCGGGGUCACGCCCCGGGUGCGUCGCAGCCCCGGAACCAGGCGCCCGCCGGAGGAACCAACCAAACUCUUUCUGUAGUCCCCUCGCGGACGUAUUUCUUUACAGCUCUGAGCAAAAAUUCAAAAUGAAUCAAAACUUUCAACAACGGAUCUCUUGGUUCUGGCAUCGAUGAAGAACGCAGCGAAAUGCGAUAAGUAAUGUGAAUUGCAGAAUUCAGUGAAUCAUCGAAUCUUUGAACGCACAUUGCGCCCGCCAGUAUUCUGGCGGGCAUGCCUGUCCGAGCGUCAUUUCAACCCUCGAACCCCUCCGGGGGAUCGGCGUUGGGGAUCGGGACCCCUCACACGGGUGCCGGCCCCUAAAUACAGUGGCGGUCUCGCCGCAGCCUCUCCUGCGCAGUAGUUUGCACAACUCGCACCGGGAGCGCGGCGCGUCCACGUCCGUAAAACACCCAACUUUCUGAAAUGUUGACCUCGGAUCAGGUAGGAAUACCCGCUGAACUUAAGCAUAUCAAUA